GACGAACGCUGGCGGCGUGCUUAACACAUGCAAGUCGAGCGAUGAAGCCCCUUCGGGGGUGGAUUAGCGGCGGACGGGUGAGUAACACGUGGGUAACCUGCCUCAAAGAGGGGGAUAGCCUCCCGAAAGGGAGAUUAAUACCGCAUAAAGCAGAAUUCCACAUGGAGUUUUGAUGAAAGGAGUAAUCCGCUUUGAGAUGGACCCGCGGCGCAUUAGCUAGUUGGUGGGGUAACGGCCUACCAAGGCAACGAUGCGUAGCCGACCUGAGAGGGUGAUCGGCCACAUUGGAACUGAGAGACGGUCCAGACUCCUACGGGAGGCAGCAGUGGGGAAUAUUGCACAAUGGGCGAAAGCCUGAUGCAGCAACGCCGCGUGAGUGAUGAAGGUCUUCGGAUUGUAAAGCUCUGUCUUCUGGGACGACAAUGACGGUACCAGAGGAGGAAGCCACGGCUAACUACGUGCCAGCAGCCGCGGUAAUACGUAGGUGGCAAGCGUUGUCCGGAUUUACUGGGCGUAAAGGGUGCGCAGGCGGAUAUUUAAGUGGGAUGUGAAAUCCCCGGGCUUAACCUGGGGGCUGCAUUCCAAACUGGAUAUCUAGAGUGCAGGAGAGGAGAAUGGAAUUCCUAGUGUAGCGGUGAAAUGCGUAGAGAUUAGGAAGAACACCAGUGGCGAAGGCGAUUCUCUGGACUGUAACUGACGCUGAGGCACGAAAGCGUGGGUAGCAAACAGGAUUAGAUACCCUGGUAGUCCACGCCGUAAACGAUGAGUACUA
RNAcentral lists this ribosomal RNA (772 nucleotides) under uncultured Clostridium sp. RNAcentral describes it as "bacterial SSU rRNA". It matches the Rfam family "Bacterial small subunit ribosomal RNA", at positions 28 to 818 of the family's 1533-position model. Lineage: Bacteria; Bacillati; Bacillota; Clostridia; Eubacteriales; Clostridiaceae. The record is from RNAcentral.